Molecule: non-coding RNA, 72 nt
Organism: Araneus ventricosus
Lineage: Eukaryota; Metazoa; Arthropoda; Arachnida; Araneae; Araneidae
Source: the annotation of a GenBank genome assembly
UGCAUCAGCCCGGAGUCGAACCCGGGUCAACUGUUUGGGAUACAGCUAUUCUGACCGUUAAACUACUGACAC